AUUGAACGCUGGCGGCAUGCUUUACACAUGCAAGUCGAACGGUAACAGGUUAAGCUGACGAGUGGCGAACGGGUGAGUAAUGCAUCGGAACGUGCCCGAUCGUGGGGGAUAACGUAGCGAAAGCUGCGCUAAUACCGCAUACGAUCUGAGGAUGAAAACGGGGGACCGUAAGGCCUCGCGCGAUCGGAGCGGCCGGUGUCAGAUUAGGUAGUUGGUGGGGUAAAGGCUCACCAAGCCGACGAUUUGUAGCUGGUCUGAGAGGACGACCAGCCACACUGGGACUGAGACACGGCCCAGACUCCUACGGGAGGCAGCAGUGGGGAAUUUUGGACAAUGGGCGCAAGCCUGAUCCAGCAAUGCCGCGUGCAGGAAGAAGGCCUUCGGGUUGUAAACUGCUUUUGUACGGAGCGAAAAGGCUCUCUCUAAUACAGGGGGUUCAUGACGGUACCGUAAGAAUAAGCACCGGCUAACUACGUGCCAGCAGCCGCGGUAA
Molecule: ribosomal RNA, 493 nt
Filed under: uncultured bacterium
Lineage: Bacteria
Description: partial 16S ribosomal RNA
Rfam family: Bacterial small subunit ribosomal RNA
Source: RNAcentral